This 712-nucleotide ribosomal RNA is filed under the name beta proteobacterium IMCC15302. RNAcentral's name for it is "bacterial SSU rRNA". It matches the Rfam family "Bacterial small subunit ribosomal RNA", at positions 39 to 743 of the family's 1533-position model. Lineage: Bacteria; Pseudomonadati; Pseudomonadota; Betaproteobacteria. The record is from RNAcentral.
GCGGAAUGCUUUACACAUGCAAGUCGAACGGCAGCAUAGAGAGCUUGCUCUCUGAUGGCGAGUGGCGAACGGGUGAGUAACAUAUCGGAACGUACCUAGUAAUGGGGAACAACUAAUCGAAAGAUUAGCUAAUACCGCAUACGACCUACGGGUGAAAGCAGGGGAUCUUCGGACCUUGCGUUAUUAGAGCGGCCGAUAUCUGAUUAGGUAGUUGGUGGGGUAAAAGCCUACCAAGCCGACGAUCAGUAGCUGGUCUGAGAGGACGAUCAGCCACACUGGAACUGAGACACGGUCCAGACUCCUACGGGAGGCAGCAGUGGGGAAUUUUGGACAAUGGGGGCAACCCUGAUCCAGCCAUUCCGCGUGAGUGAAGAAGGCCUUCGGGUUGUAAAGCUCUUUCGCAAGAGAAGAAAUCUUGCUAUUUAAUAAAUAGUAAGGAUGACGGUAUCUUGACAAGAAGCACCGGCUAACUACGUGCCAGCAGCCGCGGUAAUACGUAGGGUGCAAGCGUUAAUCGGAAUUACUGGGCGUAAAGCGUGCGCAGGCGGUUUUAUAAGUCAGAUGUGAAAUCCCCGAGCUCAACUUGGGAACUGCGUUUGAAACUGUAAGACUAGAGUGUGUCAGAGGGGGGUAGAAUUCCAUGUGUAGCAGUGAAAUGCGUAGAUAUGUGGAGGAAUACCAAUGGCGAAGGCAGCCCCUGGGAUAACACUGA